Molecule: ribosomal RNA, 221 nt
Filed under: Lygodactylus winki
Lineage: Eukaryota; Metazoa; Chordata; Lepidosauria; Squamata; Gekkonidae
Description: partial large subunit ribosomal RNA
Rfam family: Bacterial large subunit ribosomal RNA
Source: RNAcentral
AAAGGUAGCGCAAUCACCUGUCCCUUAACUGAGGACUAGUAUGAACGGCUAAAUGAGGGCUCGACUGUCUCCUGGCGCCGAUCAAUGAAAUUGAACUCGCAGUACAAAUACUGUAAUAAUAACAUAAGACGAAAAGACCCUAUGGAGCUUUAAACCCCUAUAUUACCGAGAAUACAAUCAAGACUCACCCUAAUAUAUAUUUUUAGUUGGGGCAACUACGG